RNAcentral lists this ribosomal RNA (433 nucleotides) under uncultured bacterium. RNAcentral describes it as "partial 16S ribosomal RNA". It matches the Rfam family "Bacterial small subunit ribosomal RNA", at positions 28 to 507 of the family's 1533-position model. The record is from RNAcentral.
GACGAACGCUGGCGGCAUGCCUAACACAUGCAAGUCGAACGAUGCCUUCGGGCAUAUGUGCGCACGUGUGCGUAACCCGUGGGAAUCUGCCUUUCGGUUCGGAAUAACUCAGGGAAACUUGAGCUAAUACCGCAUAACGUCACAAGACCAAAGAUUUAUCACGGCAAGAUGGGGCCGCGUAGGAUUAGCUAGUUGGUGAGGUAAAGGCGCACCAACGCGAGGAUCCUUAGCUGGUCUGAGAGGAUGAUCAUCCACACUGGGACUGCGACACGGCCCACAAUGCGACGGAAGGGAGCAGUGGGGAACAUUGGAGACUGGGCGAAGGCGUGACACAGCCAUGCGGGGUGAGUGAUCAAGGGCUUAGGGUUGUAAAGCCCUUUUACACGGAACGAUAAUGACGGUAACGGGAGAAUAAGCACCGGCUAACUACGUG